Cavia porcellus (domestic guinea pig) is the source of this 15123-nucleotide long non-coding RNA. RefSeq lists it as uncharacterized. The record is from RefSeq and is a predicted model, not a curated record. The transcript has 8 exons. NCBI's taxonomy places the organism in Eukaryota, Metazoa, Chordata, Mammalia, Rodentia, Caviidae.
UAAGAUUCUGUUAUUUCUGAUACAGUGGUGUUGGGAGAAAUGAUGGAAUGGAAGUACAAUAGUGUCUUCUGUUUAUCGAGUUCUUGUGGUAUAUGAGGCACUGUGCUAAAAAUACAUCAAGCAGAGACUGGCUAGUUGCCUAGCAAGCCCUUCCUCCACUUAAAUACACGAAGCAGCUCUGUUUCUCAGUCUUUCUUGCAUGUGAAUGGAAUAUGUGUACCUUUAAUCUAUGAGAACAUGAAGUGAAUGGUGCCUCAUCUGGGCCUGGCCUGUAACUGUGCAAUUCUGUCUGCUAUCUGAAGGGACUCCAACACAACACUCCAGCUGAAUGGAGGGCUUACUUAGGUCCUUAAGUCACUUGGUGAAGGAGAGCUCUAGAUCAUCAGCCUACUAGAUGGAUGGAAAAAUAUAACAGUGGCCUCUUACAUGGCAAAGAAAAACGAACUGGUACUGCUGACGUCAACACUGCACCCCGAUGGAAAGAUUGACAGCAAAACCUCCUCCAAACUGAAGACCGAGAUGCACAUUGUACCAUAGAGUCAGAAGCUCUUGGAGAAACAGGAGACCAAUGAAAUGUCAAGUGUGUCCUAUGAAAAAGACAGGAAAGCUAAGCAGUCAGCGCAAGCGAUGUGUGUACACAGUAUGUACAAUUGGUAAGUGUGAAGACUGCGUUGGGUGUGACAGUGGAAGCAAAGAUUAUUUUCGUUCUAGAGCUCUGUUGGUAUUUUCACUAUAGUUCGUGUAGAAAUUUAUUUCUGUUAGUUUUUAGACCUUGUGAACAAAAAAACAGUUAAUGUUGAAAAUUCUGAUGCUUUUUUCAUAAGCAACAAAUAUUAAAAAUUCAAUGCUUUUUUAGAUUUUUUUCUGUUAGUCAUUUAAUAUAAAUUGAAACUCAAAAUUAAAAUUAAUAAUUCAACAAUAGAAACGUUUAUAUUAGAAGAAUAGCUGUGGGUUUUGUACACCCUUCAGAAUGUUCCUUUAAAAUUGCCAUGAUACCCCAAAGGAAGAAAUUUCUGACACCUCAGUUACCUACUGAGAAGCAUCCUGUGAGAAGCAUCCUCGAAGGAUUUAGGGCAGGAAAUGGACCAGGCUGAUUUGCUUUUUAAAUAGGAGAGGAAACAAAAUACCUGGUGGCAGGUAGCUAUGGUGACUCACCUAUUUAGUGGCUGAACUGAGACCCUGCUUUCCAGGUUGAAGUUUAGCCCUUCUCAAAGCUUAUAGAUCGGUGAAGGUUUUGAAGCUGUUAGGCCCAUCAGUUAGAAAGGGGCGGAACUACUCCUCCCAGGUAAGAGGCCUGUCUUACUAAUUCCUUUGAACCGGCAGAGCUUGAGCUAAGGGCCCUCUGACCCCUGCAGCCUUCUCAGGAUACUGCUGUUCUUGGCCAGUGCCCAGGGUGGAAGGGCCUGCUGGCCUUGAAAAUAGGAAAUCUAGUUCUAGCUCCAGCUCAGCUCCUGCUAUUUCUGUACCCUUUGACCAGUUCCUUGACUUCUCUUAGCCAUCAGGAAGGUUGCGAUCAUUGUAACCUUGCUGGGUUGUUGGAAGACCAGACAGAUGCAGAAAACUUCUGGCAACUGAUAAAGGCCUCUGCAAUGAAAAGACAUGUGAUCGGUAGAAAUAUCCAGCAGGAAGUGCCUCGUUCUAUCUAGAAGGAGCCGCUCCUUCUCCCAUUGCCUGGGUUUUAGCCUCUCUCUGGACUGUUCCAUGUGCUGAAAUCCUCUGUGACAACCCAGGAUUACCUGGGCCUUUGAUUGUUCUUGGGACAUUUCCCUCCACCAGAAUGAUUUUUUAUCUUAGCAGAAAGGAUAUGGAUCUAGUCUGCUAUCGUUGCUUCAUGAACUUGGGGUGCAAGAGGUUAAGGACAGAACAUAAAUAAAAUUAUCAUGGGUCAUUUUGACAAAUGUGCCAUGCCUGCCAUCCCUCUGUGGCAGCCUUGACUUCUCCAGUUUUUAAGGGUGUUAUUUCCCCUUGCUUCUAAAAUAACAACAGUCUGAACACCCAUCCUGCAAAUACAGGAAGUCCAUCUGUUGUUGGGUUUUUACUCCCAGAGUGAUUCUGGCAGAGUCCUAGCUCGUCUAUUAGUGGUUCAUGACAGUUGAUAUUACUGAGCUAAACCUGCAACACUUCAGUCUGAGGUACUGCAUUAGAUCAAGUAUAAAUACCCAGGACUUCUUCUAGAACCAUAGGCAUAUACUUGCUUAUCUGGACCUGACUGAGAGAGCCCCACCCAGAGCUGUGUGGGUGUCGGGGUGCUCUGUCCUAAAAACAGAUCCCCGUGGUUACUCUGCAGUGCAGAAAUUGCUUGCAGCUGUGCAGCUUGAAGGCUUUCAAGGUCUCUGUUGUCCCCCACUUCUGAUAGCAGCAGCUGUGCUCAGUUGGAAACCCAAGAGUGUGGUUCAAGCUCUGUCUCUCUGUUGUUUGUAACUUGGGGCAAGUCAUGAACUUCCAAGGCCUCAGAUUUCUUAGCUCUAAACUGAACAUAGUACUGCUUCUUCUGAAACAUUAGGGUUGUUGAAAGGAUUAAUGUGAGAAAAUAUUUGUUAAGAAUCCUUUCCAGGCACAGUGGGAUUCAAACAUGCGUCAGAUCCUGGCCUUACCAGGCUCAUUGUUUUAGGGGAUCUGGAUAGGUAACUGACAAUAAAUAACUUUACUAUGGAUGUGAGAAGGCCCAGUUUAUACAAUUGUACACAUGCAAGGAAUUUAUUCUACAGUUGCUGUUUUCCCCGUAUAUUGCGUCUCCCUGCUGCUUACUAUGGACCACAUUUUUCUCCAGGAGCUCACAUCUGGAAGCUUCUCUCUGUCCUCCAGGCCCCUCACAGAAUCCUGGAGUCCUCUUUGGAAGGCCAACGCAUCUACCCUCUUGCACUGCUCCAACACGCUUCUCAAAUAGUACCAUAUUUUGUUUGUCGCAGAAUUAAUGACAGACACAAGAAAUAGUAACUGAGGUCAGCCAGGGGCGGUGCACGCGGGGUGUAGGCGUGUGCCCAGCCCAAGAGUGCAUGGGAGGAGGGCAGGGAAGAGGGAACUCUGCAGUUCUAGGGUGAAGCUGACAGUCUUAUCAUUUAUAAGAAAAUGAAAGCCAGAGAGGAAGAGCUGUCUCAAGACAAUGGCAGGUUCACACCUCACCCCCAGAUUCAUUCUGUGGCCAUCUGACCUUUGGGGACAUAGGAACAAGUCAGCCAACGCUCUUCUCACCUUUCCCCAAACUCUGAAACGAGCCAACAUCUGGGUGGCUGACUGGGGCGUGAUCCCACUAGUGUCUCGGGUGGCCGGUAGCCAGCCCCCUUUGUGUCUGCACACAUCUGCCUCUCGGUCCCAGCCUCCUUUUAUCUCAGCGUGCCAGAGGAGCUCAGGUGGAAAACUACCAGGAUCCGUGAAAGAAAACCAGUAUUUCUUCUGCCCAUCUUUAAAGUUCUUGCAUUUCAUUAGGUCAUUUUUAUACUUUUUAAAACUUUAACAAUGUUGCUUGUUCAAAACUCAUAAAACUUAACAAAUAUUCACAAAUAUAUAGAAUUUUUAUAGCCAUUCUGGCAGCUAUAAAACAGGUGACUCCUGUUUAAUGUUAUAAAUUGGAGAAAUUCUAAAGCUCAUUUUGGAGGGUUGAAGUCAAUAAAUGCUCUGGGAUUCAUGAAAUUCUUAGGGUCACUGCCUGUACCACUUUUGAAGGUUUUCCAUGUGAUUAGUGGGUGCUUGUCCAGCCUUUGGUUCUGGGACGUUCUCCUCGAAUACACACUAAAUGAGAUGCUUCUUCCGGCUCCUGGUCCCAGUCUCUUGCUGAAUAUCAUGUUUUUGCACCUUGAGACUCUCUUCCCUUCCCUCUUCUACUUAAUUAUUCUCAGCCCAAUGUAGUCCUCCUGUAUUAAACUACAGGUCAGCAAUGCAGAUCUUCUGAGGUCCCAAUUUGAUAACAAAGUCCACCGUGGCUACAUAGGCCUGGUGGCCCUUCUCUCUCGUGAGUCCACAGCUCAUAUCAGCAAGCAUCAGGUUAUAUAAUACAGGUUAGGUACCUGGUGCAACCUAGAAAGCACAUAUUCCUCCCUCAGGAUGUUUAGUUUGAAGAUGGGAGAAGGGAAAUCUGACAUGAACUAUCAUGCUAGGUAUUUUGCUAUCCUCUAUGGAUUCUUCUUUGUUUAUUUUACAGGAGAGGAAACUGAGUUUCAGAGGUCAUAGGAUUUUCCCAAGGUUACUCAGUUACUGAUGUGAUGGUUUGGGGGUUUUUUUUUGUUUAUCCAGCACCAGGGAUUGGACCCGAGGAGUGCUGAACUACGGUAUGUCUCCAGCUCAUUCAUUUAUUUAUAUUUUUAAACUUUGAAGCACAGUCUCACAAAGUUGCCCACACUGGUCUCAUACUUGUGAUUCCCCUGCUUCAGCCUCCCAGCUAGCUGGGAUUACAGGUGUGCACUGCUUUGCCCAGAUGAGCGGUGGUUUUUAAGCCUUGGCUGGUCUGACUCCACUCCAUUCCUCCUCCUCUCAGCUUUCAUCUGUGUCUUCCACCGACAAAGAGCAGUGGCAGCUGGGGGCCAGUUGGCAGGCAGACAGGGAAAGAACCAGCUCUGGGUGUUGCGGUGCCUCCUUCUUGCUAGAAGAAGCUCAGACCUCAAGGCAGCGAGAGACCUGUGAGUGUGGAAAUGACUGGAAGCCAUAAGAAAGGGCCUGGCAGGGUUUGCAGGUGGCAGGCUGCCAGCUUCUGAAACAGAGAGACUUUAUCGUCCUGCUCCCCAGGGCUCCUCCCAGUGCCCCCGUUCUAACCAGAGAAAGAUCCCCAAUCAAGAACUGUUACUCUUUACCAGCCAUCAGUUAUCUACCACGGUCCAGGCUUCAUUCUAGGAAGACAAAACAGACUUCUGCCCAGGGGAGUGUUAAUUGUAGUUGGCUGGAACAGACAUCAGUAAUGACAAAAUAAACACAGAGCGUGUCAGAAUGAGAAGUGCUGCAGAAGACAGUAAAGCAGGGCAGGGGCACAGGGCGUCAGAAGGAGGAGCUGUAAUGAAAGAGGAUAGAGGACAAAGUCUAAGUAGUAUUUGAGGAAGGAUAUGAAGGAGGAAGGAGUGAGGCUUGCAGAUCUCCAGAUGGAGACCAUUAUGACAGAACAACAGCAAGUGCAAAGGCCCUGGGGUAGGAGCAUGCCAGGCACAUUUCAGGGGUAGCAAGUCCAGCGUAGGACUGGAGACCAGUAAAUGAGGCUCACCUGGCUAUAGGUCAGUUCCUUCAAGGGAAUAAUGGCUAGUGGCUCACAGAAAGACAGGGGACUUAAAACUGUCACUCCUCCACUUCCCCUGGAGAAUAUUCACUGGCAAAGUGAGGGAAGCAUGGACAUGGGGCUUCUUGCUUCAGUUUGGGUUCUCACCUCAGCAUCUCCAUAAAUUCCCCUCUUCCUCACUGUGAGCUCAUAGCCCGGCUCUUUCCCUCUUCUCCUUUAUUCUCCUCUUCCAUUUUUCCGUUUCAGAUGCUUUCUUCUCCCCCACAUCUGAAGUGUCUGGGGUCAGACCAUGGACACUGGAGAGGAGGGUGAGGGUUGGGGAGGAGAUAAGUCAAGGUGAAUUUGUUUCCUGUGCUGCUGUGACAGAGGACCACAAACUGGGUGGGCUCACAGGUAGGGAGGCUGCAAGUCUGAAUCAGCUUCACUGGACCGAAAGCAAGGGCUGGCAGGCCGCACGCCCUCUGGAACCCCUAGGGGACAGCCCAGGCCUGGCCUCUGUGUCUCGCAGAUUCAUUUUCUCUCUCUCUCUCUCUCUCUCUCUCUCUCUCUCUCUCUCUCUCUGUCUGUCUCUCUCUCUGGUAACAUCCAUUUUCUAAGAGCUUAAUUGUGAUUGCAUUCUGGGCUCACCUGUAAGGAUGCGGGAACAACCGUCCCAUCUCAAGAGUCUAAAUUUAAUCACAGCUGCAAAGACCCUGUUUUUUGGUACAUCUUUUUUUUUUGUACUGGGGAUCGAACUCACAACUGUGUGCAUGCAAGGCAGGCACUUAUGCCGCUGAGCUAAAUCCCCAGCCCUGAAGACCCUGUUUUUAUAGAAGGUAACAUUCACCGAUUCAGAGAAUUUGGAUGUGAGUAUUUAGGAUGCAGGGUACUUUGGUGCUACUAUUGAAGUUGGUCAAAUUUCAAUGGCCAUCUCCAUGUGUAUUUAGUCAUGCAUUUACUCCACAUAUAUUUUUAUUUAAUGAAGUUUAUUGGUGCAAUUUAAGUAUACAUAAUGAUCCCACUCAAUAUAGAGAACUGGUAGCUGUACCUGGCAUGUCUUGAUUACUCUUUAUUGAGCAUUAACUCAAUACCAAGCAAUGCCAAGACACUGGGAGUGCUCUGGAAGGAAAGCAGAGCCCUUCUGAGCUUACAGAUGCAAAGUGGCACUGUGGUGGGAGAUAGGAGAGCCUGGAUGUAAUCAGGCUUUCCAUGGGGAGGAAGGCCCAGGGGAGCUUCCACGAGCAGAUUCUCCUGACCUGGGAUCUGAGGAAUGGAUUGGGGUCUCCAGGCAAAGAGGGAGGGGAAAAGGUUGCAGGCGGAAGAGCCUGGUGGCCAAACUGGAGCAGGACUAGCAGCGGCAGUUGUGCAGGAUUUGAGGAGACUCAGUGUCAGGAGCUGUAUGGGGAUAAGCACGGAGUGCUCCCCUUCUCCAGCACCUGACCAUAACUGUGUCUUCCCCACUCACGAUUCAGGCCUGUCCUUCAAUUCCCUGCCUACUGCGGGAGGUAGUUUAGCAAGGAAACCCCGCUGGUUCAGUGCUGGGGCCAACUUUGGUCAGCAGCAACUUCUUCAGAGCUUCACGUGUGACUGACGUGGUUUGGGGAUUAAAAGGAUGAGGAUAAGCAAAGGUUGAAUCUCAUUUCUGCUACUGCUGGAUAAAUACUACACCAUCUCAUGGCAACGCUGGGCCUCUCCUUGGCUGUUUCUCUUGGGGAGAAGAUUUCACCUCUUUAUGCCUGAGCCGUUUUCCAGGAGCAUCUAACUCCUGGACAUUUCCUACUGAACAGUGCAAGCCUCAGAGAACUGUGUGUCUUGGUGGCAGCAGGGUACUGAGAAUAUUCACAUUGUCUUUGAAGAAACUUCCUUAACCAACUGGCCAUUCUACUCUUGAUGCUCCAGGAUCCCAGCCACAGAGGAGCCAGAUCUCCAUCAAGAGAAGUCCCGCAAAUCCCUGGCUAACAAGCCACAGGUACUAAACUUUUAAAAAAUCACCUAUGUGGGCUGCGUUUAUGGCUCAUGUUAUGCCUAGAAGACAAACGUUGUCUGCGCCAGAUGGGGAAACCGAAUGGUUGAAUCAUUUUCCGGCAUCAGGAUCUUACCGUCUCGGAGAAUUCACAAAUCAAAGUUCAGCCUUUGGCGAGCUGAGAAACAGAUCUCAGACUGAGGUGGAGUUGUCAAGCUCACGUCCUGCUGGCCUGCUGGCUGCUCCCCGGCAGCAUCCUGCACAUCAGGGUUUCCCAGCCCCAGCACCCUGACAUUUUGGUCUGGAUAAUGUUUGUUGUGGGUGUUUGUCGUGUGCAUCUUGCAGUGUUCAGCAGCCUUCUGAUCCCUACUUAUGCACCCCAGCAGCAUCCACCAACAACAAUAUGACAACCGAAACUAUCUCUGGACACUGCCAAAGGUGCCUGGUUGAGAACUGACAAUUUGUGUAGACAACAUUUCUUUCCCGUUUCAGCAUAGAGCUUACAAGCACUAUGGGAAUUCAAGGGGGUGAUAAACAGCUUUUCCUGCCCUAUAGGGUUACCUAGCUGAGUGUUGGUGUGAGAGGGCAGGAGACACACCUGAUGUAAAAUCCAUCCCUGCGUCUUGUGUAUGGAGUAUGGUUCAGGCGCCAAGGGUGGAUUCAGACUUAAAUUCAAAUUCUCCUUCUCUCACUGAGUCAUUUAAACUCUCCUGGCCUCAGUUUGUUCAUCUGUGAAUAGGAAUAGCUGGUAUCCAGGUGCAAAGAUGAAAUAAGAUAGUGAAAGGCAAGUGCUCAUCGCAGAAGUCAGGCAUGUUCCCUGCUCCUUGGGGUCUGGGGAAGGUGAGUCCGAUCCCUGCACCCUAGGUGUGAGGAAUUUCCAGGAAGACACAUAAGCUCACUCUGCUUUUACAUCUGAGUUUCUGUUUCCAAACAUAUUUUCUGUUCUCCUCCAUGAGUGUCAGUCUCAGUUCUUUCUUUGAUUUCCGCCCAAACCAAUACAGAAACCAAAUUAAAAAGUAAAAACUCCCUUGCAUAAAAAUCUAUGUAUAAACCGGGGGUUUAGCUCAGUGGCAUAAGCGUCUGCCUGGCAAGUGCAAGGUCGUGAGUUCAAUCUCCGGUCCAAAAAAAAAAAAAAAUCCAUGUGUAAGAUUAGCUUUCCAUCACUGUGACAAAAACACCUGAGAAAGUCAAUUUAAAGAAGGAAAGGUUUGUUUUCAUGAUAGUUUCAGUCUAUGCUUGGGCAGCUCCAUUGCUAUAGGUCUGUGGCAAGCUAGAAACACCAUGACCAAAGGGCAUGACAGAAGAAAGCGGCUCACCUCCUGGUGGUCAGGGAGCAGACAGCAGGAAGAGAGCUGGAUGUAGCCCAGGGACUGGAUAGAGUCCCCGAGGCCACACCCCCAUCAUCCACCUCCUUACAUUAGGGCCCACCUUCUGCUGUCAUCACCUUCCAAAACACCAUCAAUUUACCUUAUCUUGGCAGUGAACAGGAGGUCUAAACUCAGCAAUGGACUAAACCACCAAUCAGGUCACAGCCCUCGUGGUCCAAUCAUUUCCCAGAAGUCCCUCAGCUCCGAACAUAUGAGGCCUUUGGGAGGACCCUAGAUUUAAAUCACAGUGAUGAUCAAUUCACUGAAAAUGAAGGCCUCAGAAGAGACGCCACACUGUGCCUCUCGCUGAACACAUAACUGGAUAUGCACAGUGACAUUGCUGUCUUUAAAGUCUUGUCAGUCCCCUCGCUGUGGGAGUCUCUGGCUGAUGCUUCUUCCCGAAGGUGAAGGGCUGCUUCUCUGUCCCACUGUCCGUCUCUCUCUUCCUCCACCCUUACUCUUUACCUCCCUCUAAAUCCUUCUCCCCAUUCAGUGCUGGCUCGCUUCAUCAUCCUAGAUCCUCAAACUCAUGUUUUAGAGGUGUCUCCCUCCUUCCCUUCCCCAUUUUCCAGCUAUUUCCUAUCACUUUAUUUUUUGUCUUUAUAAAAUGGGCCACUAUGGAAACCAUCCAUUGAUCAACUCGCCCAGGGGUCUCUUGCCUCCCUCCCUCCCCUAGAACGUAAGCUCUUUAGAGUAGGACUCUCGUCCACCUGCACACCGCAGUAUCUUGCACCCUGACCUGACCUGGGCUGCCCAGGAGCCAGUCAGCUCGCUGUAAGGUUAGGUCUGAAAAUGGCAUUGCGUUCGCCUAAGCGCCUCCAUAUCUUGGCAGAGAAUAGGAUGUCUCAGACUCAGCUUUAAGUUACCUACCACAAAGAAGAUCCCCCCUGCCAUCGCCCUCUCUAACUCCAGACCCACAGUGAGUGGUGGUGGUUGGCAUUUGGGGGAAUGAGGAGACCGGAGUGUGGUCCAGUGUAGUACGUGAUAUAGAGAAGGAAGAGAGGAUGCACAUCUCCAGGUAACGCUAGGAAACCUGUUCCCCCUCCAGAGUCUUCAGAGACUUGGAGAGUGACCUUAGCUCUUCACAUACUGGGCUGGGAAGCACAGGGCAAGCUCAGCUGGAUACCUGAGGGACAGAUACUCAAAAUGCUGACAUGUGAAUGACAUUUUUUCUAAAGAAAAUGCUCAGGACUAAGGCAACCCAUUGGGAAUGGGGACUUGGAAGAGGUGGUUCCUCUGUACCGAGCAGCUGAGAGCUGGGGUUACAGCUUCCAUAUUCCCAGCAUGGAGGAAUCUGAGGGGGGCUAAGGUGGCAGAGGUGAAGUGAGCUGAGAGCCUGUCCCAGGCUGUCGCCAGGUGGCGUCCUAAGCCAAGGCCUGGAAGGCUUCAGGCCCUUAGAAGGAGCUUGUUAACAAGCCACUUCCCAGGAAAUGACUCACCCGGGUGACUGCAUCAGUUGAGCGUUCGUUAGCAUGGGUGCCUAAUGAUCUAGGAGGCCUGCAUCACCUCACUAUAGCUGCAGUGUUCUCGGGGAGAUAGGUGCAGCUGGGGUGGUCUUCUCAACUCGUUCAUGUGUUCAUUCGCUAGCCAUUCAUCAACAUUCUGAGGAGCAGGCCCCGUAUCCUGUCCAGAGGCACACUGUAAACAUUUCCUCCAAGAGACGUCUGUGCUAUUCCCUCUUGAGUUUGAGCAAAGCCGUGGGAGGAUAAAAAGGCAUAAAAAUGGUGAGUAAAGAGGACACAGUGGACAACACCCCAACCCAGGCAGGCCGGCUCACACCACAGUUCUGUCUCAUUCUCAACUUUGAAACUGCUGCAUUUAUUAGCUAUACUAUGUCUCUGGCAUUUAUGACAAACUGCCCACUAGUCUGAUUAGGUUUGCUAAGCACAUACCUUAUCUCCCUGCUGCUAACCGGUGACACAUGCUGGUCAUAUCUUGUUCAUCACCAUUAUCUCAUCAACUUCCCACCCCAGCACCUGCUUCCCCAGCACUCAGCGUGGAACUGUGAAUACAGACAAGCUCAGUGAUGAUCUCAGGGUGUGAUAAAACUGUGGGCCAUCUGCAGUGAGGAUGUGGGCCCUGCCUGGCAAGCCCUGAAAGUCACAGAUAUCAAUAACUGUGUCAGAGGCUCCUGGAGGGGGAGGUACAUUGGCUGGACACGAGCUUAAUGAGCAGCUCUCCUUCUAAACCAUGUGUCAGGCAGCAGGCAGCCUCACAGCAUUCCUGGGCUUCCACAUCUCAGAUGAAUAUAGAUUACUUUAUCCUAACAAUGUUGUCCCCACUCCACAAGGACUUAACACUCAAUUCCUAUUGGUUCAAAAUCUUGUGUUAGAAAGAUACAAGGCGGUGUUAUUCCCUGAGCGCAAAAAUAAGUAAUUACAUUCAUCAUUCAUACAUUCAUGCAAGCGUACAUUGAUUCAUUUAUUGAGCAUCUAUUGUGUGGUGUGCAGCCUCGUAGUCUAGGCAAUGAGAUGCAAUGGUGAGCUGAAACAGAUGCCGCUCCUGUCCUGGCUGAGUUUAAAAAUCUUGGCAACAGCAAUCAAAUUAUCAGCUACAAAUACGAACUUACUGCUGUGAUAAAUGCUCCACAGGAGAGGGAUAAGGUGGCAGGAAAGCAUGUCAUAGGAAGAUUUAGCCAGCAAAGAAGCCCUUCCUUCAGCCCACAAAGGUAGGAGAACAGUGUGGCUGUGGAUGGUCUGAGCAAAAGCAGACCUGGUCUGAGGUCACCUGCUUCCCCAUGGAUAAAUGUCCCCUGAAAGGUGGAUUGACUCACAACCUUGUUUUUGAGCUUUGGGGAUAUCACAACCUGGGGGCAGCCAGACAACAGAGCUCUACCACAGUCUGAGUUUGAUCAAGUAGCAGUGUAUUUGUUCAGGACUCUCUGAUUAUCUGUUCUAUCAUGGAAAGAGCCCCUGAAAAUAGGACAUGAGAGUUUUAGUCAGGAUCAGCAACCUGUCCCCGUUUCCCCAGGACUUUCCUAGUUUUAGUACUGAAAGUCCCAAGUUCUGGGAUUGUCCUGGUAUUAAAACCAAAAGUCCCACUUCCUAGGAACCCCCUUAGUCCUGGGCAACCCCAGGCAGUCACCACUUCUAGUCUCUGCCCACUGUUGCUUCUCUGCUUCCUCCUCUGUAAGAUGAAAUUAGAUUAGCACAGGGGUUCUCAAACUCGGCUGCUAAUUACAGCCACUGAGGAGGCUCUUAAAAGUUAGCAGUGCACAGGCGCUCCCUGCAGCAGUUUCACUGGGGUGCAGUUUAAAACUUCCCGGGUGGUGCUACGUGGGGCCGGGACUGAGAGCCACUGUGUCCCUCUUGAUACCUCUGGUUCUCAUCUAGAGUGAGUUGGUAUUUAUAGGCUUGCUAGUUCAUUUACUGCCGGGCUCCUACGCUGGCCAUGUCAUCCAUCGUGUUCCAGCAGGUGACGGUGAGUGACACACUGUAGACUCCUCUUUUCCCUCCCGUUAUCUUUCUUGCUCUUUUAUUCUUUCGAGCUUUGACUGCCUGAGCGCCUAGCACUCAUCACAUCCAGCCAUGCUCACUACACCUGGAUCAGUCAAUGACAUUUCCCUUUGUCUCACCUCUGUCCUGGGCUCUCCUUCACCAACCCCUCGGACCCCUCCCUAAAGAUGCUGAAAGAGGUCCCUGGCCACCAAGCUGAGUGCUGUUCGAGGAGUCUCUCCCUCUCUUCCGUGUAUGCUCCUCCCAGUUAGGUUCUGCGUUUAACUUCCAGGGGCCACUAUGUUGGACUCACAGGCUGGUAUAUAUCUCCGUGCUCCACACGCUAGCACUGGGUGCUGGCACAGUCCAUGGCAGGCUCCUACUCUAUCUGAUAUUCUGGGCGAUCGCCUCGGUGCUCAGUGCUGUGUGUGAGACUAUUCUUAGUGCUGUGUUGAUUCCUGCCACCAAAGCCCCUAGCCAAGAAUGGCAGCCUCCUUUACAUGUGACACUUUCAUCCAUUCAAUUAUCCACGUAAAUUCUUUGGCGUGAUCAUCAUUCCUCCCAUGCAAGCUGUCAGCAACAUAUCCACUACGUCCAACCCCUUCACUCCUAACCUAGAUAAUGACGGAAACCUCCAAGCCAGGCUUCUGCUCUUCUCUGAUUGAAGUCACUAAGAGUGGUGUUAAAAAUUAAUUAGUUAUGUCACCAAACUAACUCAUCAAAUCAUCAUAUUAAAAAGAAAAAAAAUGAUCAUUUUGGUGUGUGCAGAAAAAGAUUAACACAUUUUAAAUUUUCAUUUCUGAUUAAAAAUUCUUGGAAAACAGAAUAUUCACAACUUGAUAAGGGGCUUCCAUGAAAAAUAUACAGCUAAGAUAAUGAUAAAAGUUUGAAUUCUUUCUCCUAAAGAUCAAUGCAAGGCAAAGUGUCUGCUUGCAUUGUUUUUAUUCAACAUGGAACAACGAAAUAAGGAGGAAAAAAAUAUUAGGACCCAUAAAACAUUUUAUUAACAAGCCAUAACAAUCUACAUGUAAAAGAUCAACAAGGAACUUAACAUGUGUUUUAACAAGGCUAUGGUAUCUGAAAUUAAUAUACAAUACCCAAAUGUAUUUCUAAGAAAUUAGCAAUUUAAAAUAAAAAUGAAAAAUACUAUCUACAAUAACCAACAAACAUAAACUUCCUGAAGAUAAAUUUAACAAAAUAUAUGGGAGACCCAUAUACUAGAAACUAGAAAAAUUAAAGGAAGAAUUAAACAAAUGGAGAGAUAUCCUGUGUCCUUGGAUCAAAAGACUCAAUAUUGUUGAGGUCAUCCCUAUUCAAAUCCACAUAUAAUUUUAAUGCAGUCCUAAAGUUUUAGAAAAUUUCAUUUUGUAGACACUGAAAAGCCCAUUUUACAAUUUAUAUGAAAAUACAAAGGCCUUAGCAUAGUAAAAACAAGUUUAAAAAUACAAAAAAGAAUCUGAGGACUAAUACAGUGACCUAUUUCAAGCUUACAGUAAAACUGUCAGCCAACUGAGAAGUGUUAGCAGAUAGACAGGUACACAGAACAAUGAACCAAAAUAGAACACAGAAAUAGACCUACGUUUAUAUAGCCAACUGAUGCUUGAAAAAAAUGCCUGGAUAGUCCAAUGGGGAAAAGUAUUCUUUUUAACAAAUGAUAUCAGAGUAACUCAAAAUACCCAAUUAAAAAAUGACAUUGGCCCUUACUUCACACUAUAUAUAAAUGUUAACUUGAAACAGAUCAUAAAUCUAAAUGUAACAGUUAAAACUAGGAAGAAAUCUAGUGGGAAAUCUUUUAGUUAGGCAUAGAGUUUUAGAUAAAUCAUGAUAAACAUGAAUGAUAAAAGAAAAACUGAUUUCUUAGAUUGCUGUAAAAAUAAAGAACUUUUCAGUUAAAAAUGAAAAAUCAUAAAUUGGGAGAAAAUAUUUGAUAAAUGUGCAUCUAAGAAUUACAAAAAGUAUUCUGAAUACAAAAAAGUCUUACAAUUCAGUAAUAAAGAGGGAGAUAACUCAAAAGAGGAAGAGGGAAAAUUUUGAAGCAAUAGUUCACCAAAGAUAUGAAAAUGGCCAAUAAGUUCAAUGAAGAUGCUGUAUAUCAUUAAAUGUCAGAGCAAUGCACAUUGAAACCACAUUGAAAUAUCAUUACACACCCACUGGAAUAGUUAAAAUUCAGAAAGGAUGAUAAUAUCAAGUGCUGGCUAAGAUGUCAAGCAACUGGUGGGUAUGCAAAUAGUACAGCCACCUUGGAAAACUGUCCAGUACUUCUUAAAAGUUAAACAUACAUUCAUCACAUGACCGAGCAAUCCCCCUCCUUGGUAUUUACCUAAAAGAAAUGAGAACAUAAAUCCUUGAAGAAAACAUGUCAAUAUGCAUAAAAGCUUUAUUCUUAACAGCUCCAAACUGGAAAUAAAUGUCAAUCCAGCCAUAAAGGGAAAACCAAAUUGUGGCAUAGUCAUACAAUGGGAUGUUAAUAGCAACAAGCAAGAAACAAACUACUGCUAAAUACUAACAUGAAUUAAUCUCAAAAACAAUGUGUCCUCUGAAUAAAGCCAUGCACGGGAGAGUACAUAUUUAAAUGCAUUAUAGAGCAUUCUACAAUUAGAAAAAAAUGAAUUCAUACUGAAAAUGAGAACAGAAGGCUGAGUGAGGAAAGACUGGAGAGCUUUUUGGAGAGGUAGAAAUAUUGUAAUUUUGAUUGCAGUGCUGUCCAUCUCUGUCUACACAGAGGAAGUAUUUGUCAACGGUCACGGCUCGGGGAGGAAUAUGGUGGAGAAAGGGAGAGUAACAGCUUAACGAGUAGGGUGUUUCUCUGAGAAACGAUGAAGAUGUUCCCAAAUUGGUUGUGGUGAUGGUUAUACCGCUGUGUGAACAUCCUAAACAUCAUUCACUGUUCGCUCUAAAUAGGUUAAUUUUAGGAUACCCGAGUUCUAGCUCAAUAAAACUACUAAAGAUUUUUGGUAGAAUGAAUGUGUGAGUGUGCUUCUUGUGAUCACAUCUUGGCUCGUAAGAAGGAAAAUCAGGCAGGACACGCCCCAGGAGCUGGGUACAGGGCCUGGAAGUGCACAGGUGCUAUCUGGUGGCUCAUAUUGUCUGUGCACGCUCCCCCAAACCCAGGCUCCAGCGUGCGGCCUCCGGAUGCCCUGGAAGGGGUCCUGAGGGUAGUCCAGGAGGAUGAUUUCCUCCUAG